UACAUAAAAUUAUUGGCAAAAAUAUAAAAGAACAUCCCCAUCAAUACUCUCAUUUUUCAUUUUUUCUCUCUGCCUUUCAAAAUUUAUAUUUUAUUCCCUUAAAAUUUUAAUUUGAUGCAUUUAAUUUUCCUUCGUCAGAGUUUCGUCACUAUUCUCUCCCGUUCUUAUAAUUUAUACCGAAAAUACUUUGUAAAAUGAUAGAAAUAUACUAUUUUUUAUAUAUAUAUAUAGAGCAAGUAAGAGCAAUUUUGUUAUUUCUUCAUCUUUAGCUAUUAACGCAUAACCUUGCGAAAAUAUUUUUUUAAUUUUAGAGGUGCAAAAUUU
This 324-nucleotide long non-coding RNA is filed under the name Ananas comosus (pineapple). Its description in RNAcentral is "long non-coding RNA (ACOM_LNC002890)". The record is from RNAcentral. Lineage: Eukaryota; Viridiplantae; Streptophyta; Magnoliopsida; Poales; Bromeliaceae.